This 253-nucleotide ribosomal RNA is filed under the name uncultured bacterium. Its description in RNAcentral is "partial 16S ribosomal RNA". It matches the Rfam family "Bacterial small subunit ribosomal RNA", at positions 524 to 776 of the family's 1533-position model. The record is from RNAcentral.
UACGGAGGGUGCAAGCGUUAUCCGGAUUCACUGGGUUUAAAGGGUGUGUAGGCGGGCAUGUAAGUCAGUGGGGAAAUCUCCGGGCUCAACCUGGAAACUGCCAUUGAUACUAUAUGUCUUGAAUUUUGUUGAGGUUGGCGGAAUAAGUCAUGUAGCGGUGAAAUGCAUAGAUAUGACUUAGAACACCGAUUGCGAAGGCAGCUAACUAAGCAAACAUUGACGCUGAGGCACGAAAGCGUGGGGAUCAAACAGG